RNAcentral lists this long non-coding RNA (1042 nucleotides) under Canis lupus dingo (dingo). Its description in RNAcentral is "lncRNA (ENSCAFG00020024458.1)". The record is from RNAcentral. Lineage: Eukaryota; Metazoa; Chordata; Mammalia; Carnivora; Canidae.
ACAAAGUGUCAGCCAGACAGUGGACAGAGCCCCCCGCUGACUCGCACGCAGCUGGUGGGACUCUAACCCGGGACAACCUCUUGGGGAAACGGGAUCCGCCAAGGUUGGACACAGAUGUGGAUUAACUGACCCCAGGGGUUGCAUUCACAGGAGGAGAGAACAGAGCGAGAGGGCAGCGAGAAGGCACUGCACGCAACGGGAUGAGGGGUGGGUCCCUAAAACACGAAAAUCCGGCUCCGAAAGACAGCUCACCGUGCGAUCCCGUUUACCUGAGGUUCCUAAACGGGAACCCCGGCCCGUGGUGCUCUCUGUGACCCUGGAGCUCGCUGCCACCCUGGAGCUGCAUAGAGGCAUAUGCUCAGAAGCUCGCAGGGCUGCUCCUGCCCUCUGGCUGGGACCACUUCUCCUCACUCACCAUCCUGGGCGUCUGGGCUCUGGCCAUGCGGGGAGCAUCCCAAGUCCCGCCACGUCUGGAAAGGAAGGAUGGAGUCUCCUUUGUCCACUUCUGCUCUUGAAGAGGGAACUCCGACUGUCCUUCACGGACCAGAGAAUGUCAAGACUUGCCCAUCUCUCUCUGUUUGCUACCCCACGAUUGCAAGAUGACAGCAGCCACCAAAUCCCCCUGCUUCCUCAUCCACAUCGGACCAAGGCCUGAGAUUUGAGCGGAUGGAACACCGCUGGGCCAACCCCAGUGACCAGGAGAAUGGCCCGCUCCGAGGUCGUGAUUUACCUGACGUGCCCACUGUCCCAGGGGCUCUUGGAAUCCUGGAGCUGAGGGUGGAGUCCCUACCGCCCACACGGCUACUCAGGGAAGGAGGGGUGGAGGAGGUGUUGGGGAGGCAUCCUGAAUUCCAUCCCACCCCCUGCAUGUCCAAGGGAACAGGGAAAAAUGAUUGUCUGACCUUAGAUUUUUACAGGGCAAAUUUGGAGUUCAUUGCUUUAGAAAAAUGGAGAGGAAGACCAUGAUAGGAUCUUUUUCUUUUUUGAAAAAUGCCAAAGUCUCCCUAUAAAAAAUAUAUACUCGGGGCACCUGAGUGGCUCA